Molecule: ribosomal RNA, 459 nt
Filed under: uncultured bacterium
Lineage: Bacteria
Description: partial 16S ribosomal RNA
Rfam family: Bacterial small subunit ribosomal RNA
Source: RNAcentral
CCUACGGGAGGCAGCAGUGAGGAAUAUUGGUCAAUGGGCGGGAGCCUGAACCAGCCAAGCCGCGUGAGGGAAGAAGGUACAGCGUAUCGUAAACCUCUUUUGUCAGGGAACAAAGGCGGGGACUAGUCCCCGGAUGAGGGUACCUGAAGAAAAAGCAUCGGCUAACUCCGUGCCAGCAGCCGCGGUAAUACGGAGGAUGCGAGCGUUAUCCGGAUUUAUUGGGUUUAAAGGGUGCGAAGGCGGCCUGUUAAGUCAGCGGGAAAAGCCCGGGGCUCAACCCCGGCGAGCCGUGGAAACUGGCGGGCUGGAGUGGGAGAGAAGAACGCGGAAUGCGAGGUGUAGCGGUGAAAUGCUUAGAUAUCGCGCAGAACCCCGAUUGCGAAGGCAGCGUACCGGCUCCACACUGACGCUGAGGCACGAAAGCGUGGGUAUCGAACAGGAUUAGAUACCCGAGUAGUC